This 266-nucleotide unclassified non-coding RNA is filed under the name uncultured fungus. RNAcentral describes it as "partial contains 5.8S rRNA and ITS2". Lineage: Eukaryota; Fungi. The record is from RNAcentral.
AACGCACAUUGCGCCCUUUGGCAUUCCGAAGGGCAUGCCUGUUCGAGCGUCAUUAUCCUCUCUCAAACCUCCGGGUUUGGUGUUGGACCACGUCGGACCCCCUCGCGGUCGACGGGUCUCAAAGACAAUGACGGCGUCCGUGGGACCCUCUUCGCACUGAGCUUUCCGGAGCACGCGUCGAGUUGCAAGGUCCCGGGGACCCGGCCUCAACUAUAAAUUUUUUUCAGGUUGACCUCGGAUCAGGUAGGAAUACCCGCUGAACUUAA